UACAGGGGGUGCAAACGUUGCUCGGAAUUAUUGGGCGUAAAGCGCGCGUAGGCGGUCUUCUAAGUCGGAUGUGAAAUCCCUUGGCUUAACUGAGGAAGUGCAUCCGAAACUGGAAGGCUUGAGUACGAAAGAGGAUCGCGGAAUUCCCGGUGUAGAGGUGAAAUUCGUAGAUAUCGGGAGGAACACCGGCGGCGAAGGCGGCGAUCUGGGUCGAGACUGACGCUGAGGCGCGAAAGCGUGGGGAGCAAACAGG
This 253-nucleotide ribosomal RNA is filed under the name uncultured bacterium. RNAcentral's name for it is "partial 16S ribosomal RNA". It matches the Rfam family "Bacterial small subunit ribosomal RNA", at positions 524 to 776 of the family's 1533-position model. The record is from RNAcentral.